RNAcentral lists this ribosomal RNA (483 nucleotides) under uncultured bacterium. RNAcentral describes it as "partial 16S ribosomal RNA". It matches the Rfam family "Bacterial small subunit ribosomal RNA", at positions 28 to 523 of the family's 1533-position model. The record is from RNAcentral.
GACGAACGCUGGCGGCGUGCUUAACACAUGCAAGUCACGGGGGCCAGCAAUGGCAACCGGCGAACGGGUGCGUAACACGUGAGCAAUCUGCCGAUGUCUGGGGGAUAGCCGGCCCAACGGCCGGGUAAUACCGCAUACGCUUGCUUUGAGGAGUAUCGAGGCAAGGAAACCUCCGGGGGACAUCGAGGAGCUCGCGGCCUAUCAGCUAGUUGGCGGGGUAAUGGCCCACCAAGGCGAUGACGGGUAGCUGGUCUGAGAGGAUGGCCAGCCACGUUGGGACUGAGAAACGGCCCAGACUCCUACGGGAGGCAGCAGUGGGGAAUCUUGCGCAAUGGCCGAAAGGCUGACGCAGCGACGCCGCGUGUGGGAGGAAGCCCUUCGGGGUGUAAACCACUGUUGCCCGGGACGAACAUCCUCUUUCGAGAGGACUGACGGUACCGGGUGAGGAAGCACCGGCUAACUCCGUGCCAGCCGCCGCAGUAA